UACGUAGGUCCCGAGCGUUGUCCGGAUUUAUUGGGCGUAAAGCGAGCGCAGGUGGUUUAUUAAGUCUGGUGUAAAAGGCAGUGGCUCAACCAUUGUAUGCAUUGGAAACUGGUAGACUUGAGUGCAGAAGGGGAGAGUGGAAUUCCAUGUGUAGCGGUGGAAUGCGUAGAUAUAUGGAGGAACACCGGUGGCGAAAGCGGCUCUCUGGUCUGUAACUGACGCUGAGGUUCGAAAGCGUGGGUAGCAAACAGG
Molecule: ribosomal RNA, 252 nt
Filed under: uncultured bacterium
Lineage: Bacteria
Description: partial 16S ribosomal RNA
Rfam family: Bacterial small subunit ribosomal RNA
Source: RNAcentral